RNAcentral lists this ribosomal RNA (322 nucleotides) under uncultured eukaryote. Its description in RNAcentral is "partial 18S ribosomal RNA". It matches the Rfam family "Eukaryotic small subunit ribosomal RNA", at positions 1470 to 1796 of the family's 1831-position model. The record is from RNAcentral.
CCCUUAGAUGUUCUGGGCCGCACGCGUGCUACACUGAGUAAUUCAAUGGGUAAGGGAACGCUAGAGCAUUACCUAAUCUUGAAAUUUGCUCGUGAUGGGGAUCGACGGUUGCAAUUUUCCGUCGUGAACGAGGAAUCCCUUGUAGGCGCAUGUCAUCAUCAUGCGCCGAAUACGUCCCUGCCCUUUGUACACACCGCCCGUCGCUCCUACCGAUUGAGUGAUCCGGUGAGGCUCUGGGACCUGGACGGAAAGAGCGUUUCGCUUGUUCUGUUUGGGAAACUUGGUCGAACCUUAUCAUUUAGAGGAAGGAGAAGUCGUAACA